Hipposideros armiger (great roundleaf bat) is the source of this 206-nucleotide long non-coding RNA. RefSeq lists it as uncharacterized. NCBI's taxonomy places the organism in Eukaryota, Metazoa, Chordata, Mammalia, Chiroptera, Hipposideridae. The record is from RefSeq and is a predicted model, not a curated record. The transcript has 2 exons.
AGCACCAGGAAAAUAUUUCCGGCAUUCUUGCCACAGAAAGGACACGGUUUGAUGCAAGGUUCGAUGUCUCCAGUGGAAUUGCCAUUGGCACAUAGCAUCUCAUCUUGAUUUCACCCCCAGGAAAGCUGGCAUGUUAUGGAGGGGGCCCGGGAAAGAACUACUGACCAGAUGAAUGAUAGUCAUAAAAAAAAAAAAGCUGGCUUGCA